RNAcentral lists this ribosomal RNA (253 nucleotides) under uncultured bacterium. RNAcentral describes it as "partial 16S ribosomal RNA". It matches the Rfam family "Bacterial small subunit ribosomal RNA", at positions 524 to 776 of the family's 1533-position model. The record is from RNAcentral.
UACGUAGGGGGCAAGCGUUAUCCGGAUUUACUGGGUGUAAAGGGAGCGUAGACGGCGAUGCAAGCCAGAUGUGAAAGCCCGGGGCUCAACCCCGGGACUGCAUUUGGAACUGUGUGGCUGGAGUGUCGGAGAGGCAAGUGGAAUUCCUAGUGUAGCGGUGAAAUGCGUAGAUAUUAGGAGGAACACCAGUGGCGAAGGCGGCUUGCUGGACGAUGACUGACGUUGAGGCUCGAAAGCGUGGGGAGCAAGCAGG